Molecule: ribosomal RNA, 1499 nt
Filed under: metagenome
Description: bacterial SSU rRNA
Rfam family: Bacterial small subunit ribosomal RNA
Source: RNAcentral
AGGGUUUGAUCCUGGCUCAGAAUGAACGUUGGCGGCGUGGAUUAGGCAUGCAAGUCGAACGAAUCCCGUAGCAAUACGGGGGAAGUGGCGAAAGGGGCAGUAAGGCGUGGACAACCUGCCCCCGGCUCCGGGAUAGCCUUCCUAACGGAUGGGUAAUACCGGGUACGCUCGCUAGGUGGCAUCACCAGGCGAGGAUAGCUCCGGCGGCCGGGGAGGGGUUCACGUGAUAUUAGCUAGUUGGCGGGGUGACGGCCCACCAAGGCGAAGAUGUCUAGCGGGUGUGAGAGCACGACCCGCGCCACUGGCACUGGGACACUGGCCAGACUCCUACGGGAGGCUGCAGUCGAGGAUCUUCGGCAAUGGGCGCAAGCCUGACCGAGCGACGCCGCGUGAGCGAUGAAGGCCUUCGGGUCGUAAAGCUCUGUCGGGGGGGAGAAAAGGGUAACACCUUGAUCGACCCCCGGAGGAAGCACGGGCUAAGUUCGUGCCAGCAGCCGCGGUAAGACGAACCGUGCGAACGUUAUUCGGAAUCACUGGGCUUAAAGGGUGCGUAGGCGGGCCGAUCAGUCAGGGGUGAAAUCCCACGGCCCAACCGUGGAAGUGCCUCUGAUACUGCCGGCCUCGAGGGGGAUAGGGGCGUGCGGAACUCAGGGUGGAGCGGUGAAAUGCGUAGAUAUCCUGAGGAACACCGGUGGCGAAAGCGGCGCGCUGGAUCCCUUCUGACGCUGAAGCACGAAAGCCAGGGGAGCGAACGGGAUUAGAUACCCCGGUAGUCCUGGCCCUAAACGUUGGGUACUAGGUAGCGGCCUGUCAUGGGGUCGCUGCCGGAGCAAAAGUGUUAAGUACCCCGCCUGGGGAGUAUGGUCGCAAGGCUGAAACUCAAAGGAAUUGACGGGGGCUCACACAAGCGGUGGAGCAUGUGGCUUAAUUCGAGGCUACGCGAAGAACCUUAUCCUGGGCUUGACAUGUCCGCAAGGGUGUAGACGUAGGGACCGGAAACGGCACCCGACAGGUAUCCAACCCUGAGCUACACACAGGUGCUGCAUGGCUGUCGUCAGCUCGUGUCGUGAGAUGUCGGGUUAAGUCCCAUAACGAGCGCAACCCCUGUCUUCAGUUGCCAGCACGUAAUGGUGGGGACUCUGAAGAGACUGCCGGUGUCAAACCGGAGGAAGGUGGGGAUGACGUCAAGUCCUCAUGGCCUUUAUGCCCAGGGCUGCACACGUGCUUCAAUGGCACGCACAGAGGGAAGCGAACGCGCGAGCGGGAGCCGACCCCAAAAAACGUGCCCCAGUUCAGAUCGUAGGCUGCAACUCGCCUGCGUGAAGUUGGAAUCGCUAGUAAUCGCGGGUCAGCAACACCGCGGUGAAUGUGUUCCUGAGCCUUGUACACACCGCCCGUCAAGCCACGAAAGAGAGGGGCGCCCGAAGUCGCCGCGCCAACCGCAAGGGGGCAAGCGCCGACGGCGAGACUCUUGGUUGGGACUAAGUCGGAACAAGGUA